GGGGAUUUAGCUCAGUGGUAGAGCACUUGCCUAGCAAGUACAAGGCCCUGGGUUCGGUCCUCAGCCCCG
This 69-nucleotide transfer RNA is filed under the name Rattus norvegicus (Norway rat). It matches the Rfam family "tRNA". Rfam says of the family: Transfer RNA (tRNA) molecules are approximately 80 nucleotides in length. Their secondary structure includes four short double-helical elements and three loops (D, anti-codon, and T loops). Further hydrogen bonds mediate the characteristic L-shaped molecular structure. tRNAs have two regions of fundamental functional importance: the anti-codon, which is responsible for specific mRNA codon recognition, and the 3' end, to which the tRNAs corresponding amino acid is attached (by aminoacyl-tRNA synthetases). tRNAs cope with the degeneracy of the genetic code in two manners: having more than one tRNA (with a specific anti-codon) for a particular amino acid; and 'wobble' base-pairing, i.e. permitting non-standard base-pairing at the 3rd anti-codon position. Lineage: Eukaryota; Metazoa; Chordata; Mammalia; Rodentia; Muridae. The record is from Rfam by way of RNAcentral.